CGCCGAAAGUCCAAGGGUUCCUGCUUAAAGCUAAUCUGAGCAGGGUAAGCCGGCCCCUAAGCCGAGGCCGAAAGGCGUAGGCGAUGGGAACUAGGUUAAUAUUCCUAGGCCAGGAGGAUGUGACGGAUCAUGAAGGUUGUUCACCCUUAUCGGAUUGGGUGGGCCGCUGAUUGGUUCCUGGAAAUAGCCCUCCAUGAGACCGUACCCUAAACCAACACAGGUGGACUGGUAGAGCAUACCAAGGCGCUUGAGAGAACGAUGUUGAAGGAACUCGGCAAAA
RNAcentral lists this ribosomal RNA (280 nucleotides) under Chloropicon laureae. Its description in RNAcentral is "partial Bacterial large subunit ribosomal RNA". It matches the Rfam family "Bacterial large subunit ribosomal RNA", at positions 1335 to 1722 of the family's 2925-position model. Lineage: Eukaryota; Viridiplantae; Chlorophyta; Chloropicophyceae; Chloropicales; Chloropicaceae. The record is from RNAcentral.